RNAcentral lists this ribosomal RNA (351 nucleotides) under uncultured Leptolinea sp. RNAcentral describes it as "bacterial SSU rRNA". It matches the Rfam family "Bacterial small subunit ribosomal RNA", at positions 1017 to 1382 of the family's 1533-position model. Lineage: Bacteria; Bacillati; Chloroflexota; Anaerolineae; Anaerolineales; Anaerolineaceae. The record is from RNAcentral.
CGACCUUCGGGAGCCUAUACAGGUGUUGCAUGGCUGUCGUCAGCUCGUGUCGUGAGAUGUUCGGUUAAGUCCGCUAACGAGCGCAACCCUCGCUGUGUGUUAUAUGUGUCACACGGGACUGCCGGUCUUAAGCCGGAGGAAGGUGGGAUGAUGUCAAGUCAGCAUGGCCUUUAUAUCCUGGGCUACACACACGCUACAAUGGCCAACACAAUAGGUUGCUAAGCCGCGAGGUGGCGCCAAUCCAUAAAGUUGGUCUCAGUUCAGAUUGUAGGCUGCAACCCGCCUGCAUGAAGAUGGAGUUGCUAGUAACCGCAGGUCAGCUAUACUGCGGUGAAUACGUUCCCGGGGCUU